GCUGCAAUCACCUGCUUUGCCUACUAUGGGCACACACGGGCAUGGUUUUCUCCCCAUGCUGCUGAGAGGCCAGGCUGCAGCUGCUGUUGUCUUCUUGAUGGGUGGAACUCGCAUUCAGGCUAGCUGCCUAUUAUCAGCCUCUGUCACAGUUGCAGGUGCACUGAGUGGCAGUGUUUCCUGCCUAUGCAGCCAACAAAUAAGCCUGGCUGCAGAAACUGUGAGUGUGCUGGUAUGUGAGGUUACCUUCCCCCUCCACAGGGCAGGAGUCACUUUACAGUGGUACCAGUCCUGGCCAGGCUACCUGUCAGUUGUGAUGGGGCAGGAGCUGCUUGAGAAGGAUUCCUGCUGAGGCAGGCAGGUCCAGUCAGGGUGAAGCUUCACAUAUGAAGUCUCAAUUCCAGCUGCCACAUCAUUGUGUAUAAAGGCAUCACUCCCUGAGUCCCUGUGGGAAUUUCUUUCCAAUCGCCAAAUUGCUGAGACAAGCACCCUUUCACACUCCAAGGAACUAUGAAUUCUCAGUCCAUUUUUUGACACAUGGAGACUUCUCUUUCUUUUUGGGGGUAACAGUAUACUUUAUUGAUGGUACAUGACAAGCAAGAUAUGCACAUUUAAGGCAGUCUGUCUAUUGGAGGGAAAAAAAAAUUACCAAAACAUGAAAACCAUGAGGCAAAACACGCCAUGUCUUGUCUGCCAUUUCUGGGUGACCUUUCAUCACCACUGUGAUAUCCUCUGUCACUCCUGAGGGUGAUGUCCAGACUCUCAAACAAUCUGACCAUUCAGUGGAAGAAAGAAAUGGAUAAUUUCCUCUAUGCCCUACCAAAUUCUCUUAACUGAAGAUGACAUUUAAGCCUGAGUCCUAAGCUAUUUUGGAGCGUUACUCAUUUUCCCUGGGUAGCUUCCAUGUAUACCCGAACUAUAUGUGUUAAUAAACUACUGGUUUUUUGUU
Molecule: long non-coding RNA, 946 nt
Organism: Canis lupus familiaris (dog)
Lineage: Eukaryota; Metazoa; Chordata; Mammalia; Carnivora; Canidae
Exons: 6
Source: RefSeq, a predicted model, not a curated record